CACCUCUCCUUGCCAUCCUAGUUAGCAACUAGCUCGUUUCUGCACGGUCAUUUUACUUUGCUAACCGAUCAGAAAAGUGUUUUGAUCCACACUCAGUAGGGUCCACAAGAUCCAUGUUCUCAUUGGCUGGUCUGCACACAACCUCGGGCGAGUCAAAACCUUAUCCCAUGGGUUCCACUAUGUCCGACCUUAAGUGUCCGGGUCGGGCGAAGCGGAACUGUGCAACAAGGGGUCGGGCGAGGCGGAGACCGGCCGCGAGGGGUCGGGCGCAUCCGACCUCAUGACCUGGGGUCGGCCAAAUUUUGGACAGACCCAAAGAACGGAAACCUGGUGUGCGGUCACAGCACAAACUCUCACACAACUUUGGCAUCCAAAGCGUGUCCCAAAAAGGGGUAAGAAGUCGAAUCAAGAGUGAGGGGAAAACAAGAAAUGAUGUCACCAGGAUCAUUUCCUUGUUGCUCAUUUAACACAAAAGAAGUACUCAACUAAAGUCUAACCUAUUACAUCACUACCCAAAAUUCGGGUUGCUGAGGAGUACAACAAAAGGUGAGCUUCCUACAGCCUUCAACCUAAAGUUAUCUAGGUUGCCUACUAAGGGAACACUAUGCGUCGGAGAAGGGGCGUCGCCAUCUUCAAUGUCCAUACUGGAGACUCCCUCUCCCUUCUC
This 667-nucleotide long non-coding RNA is filed under the name Setaria viridis. RNAcentral's name for it is "long non-coding RNA (SVIR_LNC004602)". The record is from RNAcentral. Lineage: Eukaryota; Viridiplantae; Streptophyta; Magnoliopsida; Poales; Poaceae.